UACGUAGGGCGCAAGCGUUGUCCGGAAUUAUUGGGCGUAAAGAGCUCGUAGGUGGUGUGUCACGUCUGCCGUGAAAACCCGAGGCUUAACCUCGUGGCUUGCGGUGGAUACGGGCAGACUAGAGGCAGGUAGGGGAGAGUGGAAUUCCUGGUGUAGCGGUGAAAUGCGCAGAUAUCAGGAGGAACACCAGUGGCGAAGGCGGCUCUCUGGGCCUGACCUGACGCUGAGGAGCGAAAGCGUGGGGAGCAAACAGG
RNAcentral lists this ribosomal RNA (254 nucleotides) under uncultured bacterium. Its description in RNAcentral is "partial 16S ribosomal RNA". It matches the Rfam family "Bacterial small subunit ribosomal RNA", at positions 524 to 776 of the family's 1533-position model. The record is from RNAcentral.